CGGGCCAUAGCGCAGCUUGGUAGCGCACUUGACUGGGGGUCAAGGGGUCGCGAGUUCAAAUCUCGCUGGCCCGACUA
RNAcentral lists this transfer RNA (77 nucleotides) under Bifidobacterium psychraerophilum. Its description in RNAcentral is "tRNA-Pro". It matches the Rfam family "tRNA". From Rfam's summary of the family: Transfer RNA (tRNA) molecules are approximately 80 nucleotides in length. Their secondary structure includes four short double-helical elements and three loops (D, anti-codon, and T loops). The record is from RNAcentral. Lineage: Bacteria; Bacillati; Actinomycetota; Actinomycetes; Bifidobacteriales; Bifidobacteriaceae. RNAcentral also lists the same sequence under 1 other name.